GAAAUGCGAUAAGUAAUGUGAAUUGCAGAAUUCAGUGAAUCAUCGAGUCUUUGAACGCACAUUGCGCCCCCUGGUAUUCCGGGGGGCAUGCCUGUCCGAGCGUCAUUGCUGCCCUCAAGCACGGCUUGUGUGUUGGGCCCCGUCCCCUCCCCCGGGGACGGGCCCGAAAGGCAGCGGCGGCACCGCGUCCGAUCCUCGAGCGUAUGGGGCUUUGUCACCCGCUCUGUAGGCCCGGCCGGCGCCAGCCGACACCCAACUUUUAUUUCUAAGGUUGACCUCGGAUCAGGUAGGGAUACCCGCUGAACUUAAGC
This 311-nucleotide unclassified non-coding RNA is filed under the name plant metagenome. RNAcentral's name for it is "partial contains 5.8S ribosomal RNA, internal transcribed spacer 2, and large subunit ribosomal RNA". The stretch from base 1 to 105 matches the Rfam family "5.8S ribosomal RNA", at positions 50 to 154 of the family's 154-position model. The record is from RNAcentral.